This 105-nucleotide transfer RNA is filed under the name Candidatus Woesearchaeota archaeon. RNAcentral's name for it is "tRNA-Val". It matches the Rfam family "tRNA". From Rfam's summary of the family: Transfer RNA (tRNA) molecules are approximately 80 nucleotides in length. Lineage: Archaea; Nanobdellati; Candidatus Woesearchaeota. The record is from RNAcentral.
GGGCCCGUGGUCUAGUGGCUAACUUUUUAUCUAAAAGAUAAAAUGUCUAUAAAUGACCCCGCCCUUACAAGGCGGUAGUCGCAAGUUCGAAUCUUGCCGGGCCCA